RNAcentral lists this long non-coding RNA (259 nucleotides) under Salmo salar (Atlantic salmon). RNAcentral's name for it is "lncRNA (ENSSSAG00000116339.1)". The record is from RNAcentral. Lineage: Eukaryota; Metazoa; Chordata; Actinopteri; Salmoniformes; Salmonidae.
GCAGACCCGGCUUGUUCCCACCUGGAGGUUGUGGACAUCACCCCAAAAACAGAGGCAGACCCGGGUUGUUCCCACCUGGAAGUUCAAGACAUCACCCCAAAAACAGAGGAAGACCCGGCUUCUCUCCACCUGAAUGUUGUGGACAUAACCCUUAAUACAGAGGCAGAUCCGGCUUCUCUCCACCUGAAUGUUGUGGACAUAACCCUUAAUACAGAGGCAGAUCCGGCUUCUUCCCACCUGAAUGUUGUGGACAUAACCC